GUGCUCAUCUCGAUAGCACUUAUAAUAAAAAAUUGGAAUGAUACAGAGAAGAUUAGCAUGGCUCCUGUGCAAAGAUAACAGCAAAUUCAUGAAUUAUUCCAUAUUUUU
This is a small nuclear RNA of Rhinolophus ferrumequinum (greater horseshoe bat), 108 nucleotides long. Lineage: Eukaryota; Metazoa; Chordata; Mammalia; Chiroptera; Rhinolophidae. The record is from Ensembl.